RNAcentral lists this ribosomal RNA (941 nucleotides) under uncultured bacterium. RNAcentral's name for it is "bacterial SSU rRNA". It matches the Rfam family "Bacterial small subunit ribosomal RNA", at positions 26 to 936 of the family's 1533-position model. The record is from RNAcentral.
AGAAUGAACGCUGGCGGCGUGCUUAACACAUGCAAGUCGCACGAGAACUCUUUAAGCUUGCUUAAAGAUAGUAAAGUGGCGCACGGGUGAGUAACGCGUGGGCAAUCUACCUCCGAAUUGGGGAUAACUCCGCGAAAGCGGGGCUAAUACCGAAUAAUAUCCCAAGAACUUUGGCUUUUGGGAUCAAAGGUGGCCUCUACAUGUAAGCUACUGUUUGGAGAUGAGCCCGCGUACCAUUAGCUUGUUGGUAGGGUAAUGGCCUACCAAGGCGACGAUGGUUAGCUGGUCUGAGAGGAUGAUCAGCCACACUGGAACUGACACACGGUCCAGACUCCUACGGGAGGCAGCAGUGAGGAAUUUUGCGCAAUGGGGGAAACCCUGACGCAGCAACGCCGCGUGAGUGAUGAAGGCUUUCGAGUCGUAAAGCUCUGUCAAGUGAGAAGAACCUGUCCCGCGAUAAUACCGCGGGAUACUGACGGUAUCACUGAAGGAAGCACCGGCUAACUCCGUGCCAGCAGCCGCGGUAAUACGGGGGGUGCAAGCGUUAUUCGGAAUUAUUGGGCGUAAAGGGCGCGUAGGCGGCCUUUUAAGUCAGAUGUGAAAGCCCGGGGCUUAACCCCGGAAGUGUAUUUGAAACUAAAAGGCUUGAGUAUGGGAGAGGGAAGUGGAAUUCCUGGUGUAGCGGUGAAAUGCGUAGAUAUCAGGAGGAACACCGGUGGCGAAGGCGACUUCCUGGACCAAUACUGACGCUAAGGCGCGAAGGCGUGGGUAGCAAACAGGAUUAGAUACCCUGGUAGUCCACGCAGUAAACGGUGAACACUAGGUGUAGCGGGUAUUGACCCCUGCUGUGCCGCAGCUAACGCAUUAAGUGUUCCGCCUGGGGAGUACGGUCGCAAGAUUAAAACUCAAAGGAAUUGACGGGGGCCCGCACAAGCGGUGGA